UACGUAGGGUGCGAGCGUUAAUCGGAAUUACUGGGCGUAAAGCGUGCGCAGGCGGUUUUGUAAGCCAGAUGUGAAAUCCCCGGGCUUAACCUGGGAAUGGCAUUUGGGACUGCAAGGCUUGAGUGCGGCAGAGGAGACUGGAAUUCCUGGUGUAGCAGUGAAAUGCGUAGAUAUCAGGAGGAAUACCGAUGGCGAAGGCAGGUCUCUGGGCUGACACUGACGCUCAUGCACGAAAGCGUGGGGAGCGAACAGG
RNAcentral lists this ribosomal RNA (253 nucleotides) under uncultured bacterium. RNAcentral's name for it is "partial 16S ribosomal RNA". It matches the Rfam family "Bacterial small subunit ribosomal RNA", at positions 524 to 776 of the family's 1533-position model. The record is from RNAcentral.